This 682-nucleotide small RNA is filed under the name Pongo abelii (Sumatran orangutan). RNAcentral describes it as "processed transcript". Lineage: Eukaryota; Metazoa; Chordata; Mammalia; Primates; Hominidae. The record is from RNAcentral.
GGCAGGCAAGGAGGCCCAGAGAGGCGGGGAGGCCCAGACAGGGAAGGCGCUAGGAGGGGAGGCCCAGACAGGGAAGGCGGCCCCCGGGCCAGUGUGUUCGACCUGAAGGCCAUCGCCUCCCUGCUGCGGCUGCCAGACGUCCCGAGGAUCUUCCUGGUGAAGGUGGCCUCCAACUUCCCCACAGGGCUCUUCAUGGUCAUGUUCUCCAUCAUCUCCAUGGACUUCUUCCAGCUGGAGGCCGCCCAAGCUGGCUACCUCAUGUCCUUCUUCGGGCUCCUCCAGAUGGUGACCCAGGGCCUGGUCAUCGGGCAGCUGAGCAGCCACUUCUCAGAGGAGGCGCUGCUCCGGGCCAGCGUGCUGGUCUUCAUCGUGGUGGGCCUGGCCAUGGCCUGGAUGUCCAGCGUCUUCCACUUCUGCCUCCUGGUGCCUGGCCUGGUGUUUAGCCUCUGCGCCCUCAACGUGGUCACUGACAGCAUGCUGACCAAGGCCGUCUCCUCCUCGGACACAGGGACCAUGCUGGGCCUCUGCGCCUCUGUACAACCACUGCUCCGAACUCUGGGACCCACGGUCGGCGGCCUCCUGUACCGCAGCUUUGGCGUCCCUGUCUUCGGGCACGUGCAGGUUGCUAUCAAUACCCUUGUCCUCCUGGUGCUCUGGAGGAAACCUAUGCCCCAGCGGAAGG